AGUGAACGCUGGCGGUAGGCCUAACACAUGCAAGUCGAACGGCAGCACAGUAAGAGCUUGCUCUUACGGGUGGUGAGUGGCGGACGGGUGAGGAAUACAUCGGAAUCUACUUUUUCGUGGGGGAUAACGUAGGGAAACUUACGCUAAUACCGCAUACGACCUACGGGUGAAAGCAGGGGAUCUUCGGACCUUGCGCGAUUGAAUGAGCCGAUGUCGGAUUAGCUAGUUGGCGGGGUAAAGGCCCACCAAGGCGACGAUCCGUAGCUGGUCUGAGAGGAUGAUCAGCCACACUGGAACUGAGACACGGUCCAGACUCCUACGGGAGGCAGCAGUGGGGAAUAUUGGACAAUGGGCGCAAGCCUGAUCCAGCCAUACCGCGUGGGUGAAGAAGGCCUUCGGGUUGUAAAGCCCUUUUGUUGGGAAAGAAAAGCAGCAGGUUAAUACCCCGCUGUUCUGACGGUACCAAAAGAAUAAGCACCGGCUAACUUCGUG
RNAcentral lists this ribosomal RNA (492 nucleotides) under uncultured bacterium. RNAcentral describes it as "partial 16S ribosomal RNA". It matches the Rfam family "Bacterial small subunit ribosomal RNA", at positions 29 to 507 of the family's 1533-position model. The record is from RNAcentral.